Molecule: ribosomal RNA, 454 nt
Filed under: uncultured Bacillota bacterium
Lineage: Bacteria; Bacillati; Bacillota
Description: bacterial SSU rRNA
Rfam family: Bacterial small subunit ribosomal RNA
Source: RNAcentral
GCAGUGGGGAAUAUUGCGCAAUGGGGGAAACCCUGACGCAGCGACGCCGCGUGAGCGAUGAAGGCCUUAGGGUUGUAAAGCUCUGUUUUAGGGGACGAAUGUCGAGAUGAGUAAUAUGCGUUUCGAAUGACGGUACCCUAAGAGGAAGCCCCGGCUAACUACGUGCCAGCAGCCGCGGUAAGACGUAGGGGGCGAGCGUUGUCCGGAAUUACUGGGCGUAAAGAGCACGUAGGCGGGACUUUAAGUCAGGUGUGAAAGACCGGGGCUCAACUCCGGGGUGGCACUUGAAACUGGAGUUCUUGAGGACAGGAGAGGAAAGCAGAAUUCCUGGUGUAGCGGUGAAAUGCGUAGAAAUCAGGAGGAAUACCAGUGGCGAAGGCGGCUUUCUGGACUGACCCUGACGCUGAGGUGCGAAAGCGUGGGUAGCAAACAGGAUUAGAUACCCGAGUAGUCC